GACGAACGCUGGCGGCGUGCUUAACACAUGCAAGUCGAACGGAAAGGCCCUGCUUUUGUGGGGUGCUCGAGUGGCGAACGGGUGAGUAACACGGGAGUAACCUGCCCUUGACUUUGGGAUAACUUCAGGAAACUGGGGCUAAUACCGGAUAGGAGCUCCUGCUGCAUGGUGGGGGUUGGAAAGUUUCGGCGGUUGGGGAUGGACUCGCGGCUUAUCAGCUUGUUGGUGGGGUAGUGGCUUACCAAGGCUUUGGCGGGUAGCCGGCCUGGGAGGGUGACCGGCCACAUUGGGACUGAGAUCCGGCCCAGACUCCUCCGGGAGGCAGCAGUGGGGAAUAUUGCACAAUGGGCGGAAGCCUGAUGCAGCACCGCCGCGUGCGGGAUGACGGCCUUCGGGUUGUAAACCGCUUUCGCCUGUGACGAAGCGUGAGUGACGGUACUGGGUAAAGAAGCACCGGCUAACUACGUG
This 468-nucleotide ribosomal RNA is filed under the name uncultured bacterium. RNAcentral describes it as "partial 16S ribosomal RNA". It matches the Rfam family "Bacterial small subunit ribosomal RNA", at positions 28 to 507 of the family's 1533-position model. The record is from RNAcentral.